CGGUGGAUGCCUGGGCAGUCAGAGGCGAUGAAGGACGUACUAACUUGCGAUAAGCGCAGAUAAGGCAGUAAGAGCCGUUUGAGUCUGCGAUUUCCGAAUGGGGAAACCCAACUGCAUAAGCAGUUACUGUUAACUGAAUACAUAGGUUAACAGAGCAAACCGGGGGAACUGAAACAUCUAAGUACCCCGAGGAGAAGAAAUCAACCGAGAUUCCGGUAGUAGCGGCGAGCGAACCUGGAUUAGCCCUUAAGCACUCGGUGAAGUAGGUGAACAAGCUGGAAAGCUUGGCGAUACAGGGUGAUAGCCCCGUAACCGACGCUUCAUCGAGCGUGAAAUCGAGUAGGGCGGGACACGUGAUAUCCUGUCUGAAUAUGGGGGGACCAUCCUCCAAGGCUAAAUACUCCUGACUGACCGAUAGUGAACCAGUACCGUGAGGGAAAGGCGAAAAGAACCCCUGUGAGGGGAGUGAAAUAGAACCUGAAACCGUGUACGUACAAGCAGUAGGAGCACCUUCGUGGUGUGACUGCGUACCUUUUGUAUAAUGGGUCAGCGACUUAUAUUCAGUGGCAAGGUUAACCGUAUAGGGGAGCCGUAGCGAAAGCGAGUCUUAACUGGGCGCUCAGUCUCUGGAUAUAGACCCGAAACCGGGUGAUCUAGCCAUGGGCAGGUUGAAGGUUGAGUAACAUCAACUGGAGGACCGAACCGACUAAUGUUGAAAAAUUAGCGGAUGACUUGUGGCUAGGGGUGAAAGGCCAAUCAAACUCGGAGAUAGCUGGUUCUCCCCGAAAGCUAUUUAGGUAGCGCCUCGGACGAAUACUACUGGGGGUAGAGCACUGUUAAGGCUAGGGGGUCAUCCCGACUUACCAACCCUUUGCAAACUCCGAAUACCAGUAAGUACUAUCCGGGAGACACACGGCGGGUGCUAACGUCCGUCGUGGAGAGGGAAACAACCCAGACCGCCAGCUAAGGUCCCAAAGUAUUGCUAAGUGGGAAACGAUGUGGGAAGGCUCAGACAGCUAGGAUGUUGGCUUAGAAGCAGCCAUCAUUUAAAGAAAGCGUAAUAGCUCACUAGUCGAGUCGGCCUGCGCGGAAGAUGUAACGGGGCUAAGCA
Molecule: ribosomal RNA, 1111 nt
Filed under: Vibrio cholerae
Lineage: Bacteria; Pseudomonadati; Pseudomonadota; Gammaproteobacteria; Vibrionales; Vibrionaceae
Description: partial 23S ribosomal RNA
Rfam family: Bacterial large subunit ribosomal RNA
Source: RNAcentral